Molecule: ribosomal RNA, 245 nt
Filed under: Vibrio parahaemolyticus
Lineage: Bacteria; Pseudomonadati; Pseudomonadota; Gammaproteobacteria; Vibrionales; Vibrionaceae
Also listed under: 1 other name
Description: partial 16S ribosomal RNA
Rfam family: Bacterial small subunit ribosomal RNA
Source: RNAcentral
ACGGGAGGCAGCAGUGGGGAAUAUUGCACAAUGGGCGCAAGCCUGAUGCAGCCAUGCCGCGUGUGUGAAGAAGGCCUUCGGGUUGUAAAGCACUUUCAGUCGUGAGGAAGGUAGUGUAGUUAAUAGCUGCAUUAUUUGACGUUAGCGACAGAAGAAGCACCGGCUAACUCCGUGCCAGCAGCCGCGGUAAUACGGAGGGUGCGAGCGUUAAUCGGAAUUACUGGGCGUAAAGCGCAUGCAGGUGG